This 327-nucleotide ribosomal RNA is filed under the name uncultured eukaryote. Its description in RNAcentral is "partial 18S ribosomal RNA". It matches the Rfam family "Eukaryotic small subunit ribosomal RNA", at positions 1470 to 1796 of the family's 1831-position model. The record is from RNAcentral.
CCCUUAGAUGCCCUGGGCCGCACGCGCGUUACACUGAUGCACUCAACGAGCAUAUAACCUUGGCCGAGAGGCCUGGGUAAUCUUGUUAACAUGCAUCGUGAUAGGGAUAGAUUAUUGCAAUUAUUAAUCUUGAACGAGGAAUUCCUAGUAAUCGCAGAUCAUCAAUCUGCAAUGAUUACGUCCCUGCCCUUUGUACACACCGCCCGUCGCACCUACCGAUUGAAUGGUCCGGUGAGGACUCGGGAUUGUGGUUUGGCUCCUUCAUUGGGGCCUGACUGUGAGAACUUGUCCAAACCUUAUCAUUUAGAGGAAGGUGAAGUCGUAACA